Molecule: transfer RNA, 87 nt
Filed under: Gammaproteobacteria bacterium
Lineage: Bacteria; Pseudomonadati; Pseudomonadota; Gammaproteobacteria
Also listed under: 3 other names
Description: tRNA-Leu
Rfam family: tRNA
About the family: Transfer RNA (tRNA) molecules are approximately 80 nucleotides in length. Their secondary structure includes four short double-helical elements and three loops (D, anti-codon, and T loops).
Source: RNAcentral
GCCCGGGUGGCGAAAUUGGUAGACGCAAGGGACUUAAAAUCCCUCGCCAGAAAUGGCGUGCCGGUUCGAUUCCGGCCCCGGGCACCA